RNAcentral lists this ribosomal RNA (804 nucleotides) under uncultured archaeon. Its description in RNAcentral is "bacterial SSU rRNA". It matches the Rfam family "Archaeal small subunit ribosomal RNA", at positions 1 to 812 of the family's 1478-position model. The record is from RNAcentral.
UUCCGGUUGAUCCCGCCGGACCUGACUGCUAUCGGAUUGAUACUAAGCCAUGCGAGUCAUUGUAGCAAUACAAGGCAGACGGCUCAGUAACGCGUAGUCAACCUAACCUAUGGACGGGAAUAACCUCGGGAAACUGAGAAUAAUGCCCGAUAGAACACUAUACCUGGAAUGGUUUGUGUUCCAAAUGAUUUAUCGCCAUAGGAUGGGACUGCGGCCUAUCAGUUUGUUGGUGAGGUAAUGGCCCACCAAGACUAUUACAGGUACGGGCUCUGAGAGGAGUAGCCCGGAGAUGGGUACUGAGACACGGACCCAGGCCCUAUGGGGCGCAGCAGGCGAGAAAACUUUGCAAUGUGCGAAAGCACGACAAGGUUAAUCCGAGUGAUUUGUGCUAAACGAAUCUUUUGUUAGUCCUAGAAACACUAACGAAUAAGGGGUGGGCAAGUUCUGGUGUCAGCCGCCGCGGUAAAACCAGCACCUCAAGUGGUCAGGAUGAUUAUUGGGCCUAAAGCAUCCGUAGCCGGCUCUGUAAGUUUUCGGUUAAAUCUGUACGCUCAACGUACAGGCUGCCGGGAAUACUGCAGAGCUAGGGAGUGGGAGAGGUAGACGGUACUCGGUAGGAAGGGGUAAAAUCCUUUGAUCUAUUGAUGACCACCUGUGGCGAAGGCGGUCUACCAGAACACGUCCGACGGUGAGGGCUGAAAGCUGGGGGAGCAAACCGGAUUAGAUACCCGGGUAGUCCCAGCUGUAAACUAUGCAAACUCAGUGAUGCAUUGACUUGUGGUCAAUGCAGUGCUGCAGGGAAGC